UUGCCAGACUCCUACGGGAGGCAGCAGUGGGGAAUAUUGCGCAAUGGGGGAAACCCUGACGCAGCAACGCCGCGUGCGGGAUGAAGGCUUUCGGGUUGUAAACCGCUUUCAGCAGGGAAGAUAAUGACGGUACCUGCAGAAGAAGCCCCGGCUAACUACGUGCCAGCAGCCGCGGUAAUACGUAGGGGGCAAGCGUUAUCCGGAUUUACUGGGUGUAAAGGGAGCGUAGACGGCAGUGCAAGUCCGGAGUGAAAGCCCGGGGCUCAACCCUGGGACUGCUCUGGAAACUGUAAAGCUGGAGUGCGGGAGGGGCAGGCGGAAUUCCUGGUGUAGCGGUGAAAUGCGUAGAUAUCAGGAGGAACACCGGCGGCGAAGGCGGCCUGCUGGACCGUAACUGACGUUGAGGCUCGAAAGCGUGGGGAGCAAACAGGAUUAGAUACCCCGGUAA
This 448-nucleotide ribosomal RNA is filed under the name uncultured bacterium. Its description in RNAcentral is "bacterial SSU rRNA". It matches the Rfam family "Bacterial small subunit ribosomal RNA", at positions 328 to 793 of the family's 1533-position model. The record is from RNAcentral.